RNAcentral lists this ribosomal RNA (367 nucleotides) under Candovia coenosa. RNAcentral describes it as "partial small subunit ribosomal RNA". The record is from RNAcentral. Lineage: Eukaryota; Metazoa; Arthropoda; Insecta; Phasmatodea; Lonchodidae.
CAAUAAAUAUUAAUUAAUAUUUUUGGUUUAAUGAAGUUAAAUUUGUUUUUUUAUAUGGAUUUAAUUUAUUUAUUUUUAGGUGAAAUUUAAAUUUUUAUUAAAUUUUUUAUGAUUCUUUAAAGUGUAUAUAUUAAACUAGGAUUAGAUACCCUAUUAUAAUACAUUUAAUUUUUACCAGGGUACUAUUAGUUAUUUUCUUUAAACCUAAAGAAUUUGGCGGUGUUUUAGUCUAUUUAGAGGAAUUUGCCCCAUAAUCGAUAGUCCUCGAUUUAUCUUGCUUUUAUUGGUUUAUCAGUAUGUAUACCUCCGUUAUAGGUUUAUUUUAUAAGGAUAAAAAUUUACUUUAUUCUUUUAUUUGAAUUAUUUC